Molecule: non-coding RNA, 2925 nt
Organism: Tetranychus urticae (two-spotted spider mite)
Lineage: Eukaryota; Metazoa; Arthropoda; Arachnida; Trombidiformes; Tetranychidae
Source: RefSeq, a predicted model, not a curated record
ACCAUUGUUUUUGUUUUAAAAAUGCGCCUUUCAAAUCAAAUUUAUAUUUGUAAUUAAAUUGUGUUCUAAUCUAUUCAUAAAUAUAUAUUAAUCAUAUCAAGUUAACAGUUUCAGCAACAACAUCUGUUUUAGUGUUAAAUAUAAACACGUUUAGUAAUCGUUGUAUCUCUUUUGAUUAGUUGGUCAAUCGUUUAUUGGCAAGCAAAGUGUAUAUGUAACCAGAAGAAGGCAUAACAACUCAUAUGCAUCUUCACAUUCAUCAUCUUCAACAUCAUCAUGGUGGUGAUUAUUUGAUUUAAAACAUGAAUAACAAGAAAGAAAAAAGAUGCUAUUAAUUCAAAGUAAACCAAUUUUUCAUCUUUAAUCAGUAAACAACCAGAAAUGAGUUAAAUUUUUGAUACACAUUUUUUGGUUAUAUUUCAUCUUUAUCUACUUUAGGCUUAAAAUACCUAUCGAUUGAAUCAUGAUCAAGCAAGCUAAUUUGGAUGAACCACGGAAAGUAAGAGGCCAAAAAUGUAGAUAAAAAUAGUAAAUAAUAUAUCGAAUUUAACUGAAUAACUGAAUAAUCAGCUUCACUCUGUUGAUUGAACAACAGUAAACCUGCAAUCUUGAUUGUGGAUCAUCAUGAUAGGUGAAUAAACAAACCAUCAAUGAUGAUAGGUCAUCAUCAAUAUUAAACUUCCUUGGUGGAAAUAAUAAUUCGUGAUCGAUGCCUUUAGACUGAAAGAAAGACCAGCAAAGGGUAAACACGGCAGCAGCAGCAAAAACAAAACAUUGUAACUCAAUUAAAAAAUGUUGGACAUUUCUCUUCUUCUUGACCAUUUUUAUCAUCAUUAUCAUCAACAUCAACAACAUCAUCUAUCCAUUUCAUUUUUUAGCGAGAAAAGCAAAAGCAGGAGGAAAAAAAAGUUAAUUAUAGAGUCCUACCUGUGGCCUGCUUGGAUCUUUCAUGAUUAACAAUUUUGACGGUUAUAUUGUGAAUUUGGCCGGUUUUCAAUGCGUUCCCCAACCACAGUUAACAUCUUAUUUUACAAAGCCAUUGGUAGCCAUCCGCAAUCAUCCAAUCAAUAUACCAGAAUCAAUGGAAUCUCAUUACGCCGAUUUCAAGCAAUCGUAUCUUUUUGUUUAAUUGAAAGCAAAUCAUGGAAUGCCAUCAUUAGCUGUUAAUUAAAGUUAACAUGGAUUAUCAAUUUGACUUAAGGUAAUCUGAUCAAUUAUCAAUUCUUAAUUUCAUCUUGUUUCUUAAUAUAACAUGAAUUUGAUUUGGCCUACACGUUACAAAUGGUUUUGCCGGAUCAUUUCUUCCGGUUAAAUUAGUUAAAUCAAAUCAAUUUCCUUAUUUUUGGCUAUUUAAAAGAUCAAAAUCCAAGCUAUUCAAUUACUGAUGAAGCUGAUCAAAUAAUUAUCGUAAAGAAUGGACAAAUUAAAUUUUUGAAAAGAUGAAUGCCUUUCAUAAAAGGAUGAUUAUUGUACAGUUAUGAUCACCCAAUCGGAACCAAAUUUUUCCUUAAUUAUUGUUGGUUGAUGGUGAUGAUUCCAUGACAGAAGGCUCAAGCAAAACAUGAUUUCCAAGAGAAAAGAGAAACAAUUUCUAUUCAUUGGUCGUUGACAGUAUCUUCCAGGGUCUAACAAUGAAGUACAACAGGUUCUUUGAAAGGUGUACCUUGGACGAGAACGGCAAAGAUGAUGAAGAAAAAUGAAGAAGAAGAUGAAAAGGAAGAGAUGACAACCUUAGGCGAGUCUUAUUUCUACGGAUCAGUUGGCUUGAAUUGUAUUGUUAUUAUUUGACAAUGAUAAUAAUUAAUACGCAGUUUAUGGUGACGUUCAGACUCUUGUAUUGUUGAAAUGAUAAAAUUAAUAACUUAAGGUGGAUCCUUGGAUAAGAUGGUGAGGGGGACGAAAAGUGUGGAUUAUCAUUGAACAAAAGGAUCACAAUCAAGGCAGAGAAAAUUAAAUUUAUAAGAAGGCAAAUUACCAAAUUAAUAAAUCAACGGAAAGAUGAAAAGGACAUUUUUAUUAGCAACUAUCAGUGAAUUACAGGAUAAUCCAUGCAUCUAAUCAAGGUGGAGUCCACUAAUAUCCUUCACCAAAACCAGAUUGUUAAACCUUUCAUUAUUAAUAGGCGAGGAUGAAAAUUCAACUCAACGCCGUAUCAUCAUCAUCCCAACCAUUUGAUCGUAUUUGGUUAUCAUCUCUUCUCAUCACGACAAUUGUUUAUUAAAUUGAAUCACGUUGAUCACCGCCAUUUGUUUGCAGUUGACCAAAUUUGAUAACAUGAUUUGUCUAUAACUUGGCCAAUAAUAAGGCAAAUUGUUGCGGAAAUUUGAUAUGGAUGCCGCAAUUUGUUUGAAUCACACUUUUGCGUUGAGUUUAUUUCCUAUUUUCUGGUAUUCUUGGCUCAAAUUUGCUGGUUUAAUUUAAUAUCAUAUUUGGUAUCCGUAUUUAAUAACAUUUAACGACAAUCACGUACCUAAUCAACGGACAACAAGAACAAAAACAUUUUAAAAUGGACUUAAAUCAAAUUACUUUGUUUAACUGGAUUCACCACACAUUAAUAUUAGCUAAAACAAUAAUCAUCAUCUCAAUCUAAUGUCCAUUAAACUGUUUACCAAAAUUAUUUGCAACGUUAGAUUGACAAAAUGUGACAAAACCAAGGCAUCUUCAGUCUAAUCAUGUAAAUUAUUAUUAACAUCAUCAUUUAAGCCUUUCAUCCUCUUCCUAUCUAAUUAAUUAUAUUGUUGUUAAAUGCAAUUGCAAUUGACUUUUCUUGUUUUAAUUAUUGUAGUCACUACAAUUAGACAUAUCUGUACUACUAUCAUAAUGCUAUUCUUGCUAAAUCUUUUUCUGUAUUAAUUGUAAGUUAAAUGACAACUUAACUCGUAUUUCCUUUACUUUAAUAGUGCUAAUAAUACAAAUUUUCAUCUA